RNAcentral lists this ribosomal RNA (1433 nucleotides) under uncultured organism. RNAcentral describes it as "SSU rRNA". It matches the Rfam family "Bacterial small subunit ribosomal RNA". The record is from RNAcentral.
GAUGAACGCUAGCUACAGGCUUAACACAUGCAAGUCGAGGGGCAGCAUGGUCUUAGCUUGCUAAGGCCGAUGGCGACCGGCGCACGGGUGAGUAACACGUAUCCAACCUGCCGUCUACUCUUGGACAGCCUUCUGAAAGGAAGAUUAAUACAAGAUGGCAUCAUGAGUCCGCAUGUUCACAUGAUUAAAGGUAUUCCGGUAGACGAUGGGGAUGCGUUCCAUUAGAUAGUAGGCGGGGUAACGGCCCACCUAGUCUUCGAUGGAUAGGGGUUCUGAGAGGAAGGUCCCCCACAUUGGAACUGAGACACGGUCCAAACUCCUACGGGAGGCAGCAGUGAGGAAUAUUGGUCAAUGGGCGAGAGCCUGAACCAGCCAAGUAGCGUGAAGGAUGACUGCCCUAUGGGUUGUAAACUUCUUUUAUAAAGGAAUAAAGUCGGGUAUGCAUACCCGUUUGCAUGUACUUUAUGAAUAAGGAUCGGCUAACUCCGUGCCAGCAGCCGCGGUAAUACGGAGGAUCCGAGCGUUAUCCGGAUUUAUUGGGUUUAAAGGGAGCGUAGAUGGAUGUUUAAGUCAGUUGUGAAAGUUUGCGGCUCAACCGUAAAAUUGCAGUUGAUACUGGAUAUCUUGAGUGCAGUUGAGGCAGGCGGAAUUCGUGGUGUAGCGGUGAAAUGCUUAGAUAUCACGAAGAACUCCGAUUGCGAAGGCAGCCUGCUAAGCUGCAACUGACAUUGAGGCUCGAAAGUGUGGGUAUCAAACAGGAUUAGAUACCCUGGUAGUCCACACGGUAAACGAUGAAUACUCGCUGUUUGCGAUAUACAGCAAGCGGCCAAGCGAAAGCGUUAAGUAUUCCACCUGGGGAGUACGCCGGCAACGGUGAAACUCAAAGGAAUUGACGGGGGCCCGCACAAGCGGAGGAACAUGUGGUUUAAUUCGAUGAUACGCGAGGAACCUUACCCGGGCUUAAAUUGCAGAUGAAUUACGGUGAAAGCCGUAAGCCGCAAGGCAUCUGUGAAGGUGUUGCAUGGUUGUCGUCAGCUCGUGCCGUGAGGUGUCGGCUUAAGUGCCAUAACGAGCGCAACCCUUGUUGUCAGUUACUAACAGGUUCCGCUGAGGACUUUGACAAGACUGCCAUCGUAAGAUGUGAGGAAGGUGGGGAUGACGUCAAAUCAGCACGGCCCUUACGUCCGGGGCUACACACGUGUUACAAUGGGGGGGUACAGAGGGCCGCUACCACGCGAGUGGAUGCCAAUCCCAAAAACCUCUCUCAGUUCGGACUGGAGUCUGCAACCCGACUCCACGAAGCUGGAUUCGCUAGUAAUCGCGCAUCAGCCACGGCGCGGUGAAUACGUUCCCGGGCCUUGUACACACCGCCCGUCAAGCCAUGGGAGCCGGGGGUACCUGAAGUGCGUAACCGCGAGGAGCGCCCUAGGGUA